CAGCUUUCAGCAACGGAUCUCUUGGCUCUCGCAUCGAUGAAGAACGCAGCGAAAUGCGAUAAGUAAUGUGAAUUGCAGAAUUCAGUGAAUCAUCGAAUCUUUGAACGCACCUUGCGCCCCUUGGCUAUUCCGAAGGGCAUGCCUGUUUGAGUAUCAUGA
This 159-nucleotide ribosomal RNA is filed under the name uncultured Thelephora. RNAcentral's name for it is "5.8S ribosomal RNA". It matches the Rfam family "5.8S ribosomal RNA". Rfam says of the family: 5.8S ribosomal RNA (5.8S rRNA) is a component of the large subunit of the eukaryotic ribosome. Lineage: Eukaryota; Fungi; Basidiomycota; Agaricomycetes; Thelephorales; Thelephoraceae. The record is from RNAcentral.